RNAcentral lists this transfer RNA (73 nucleotides) under Stegodyphus mimosarum. It matches the Rfam family "tRNA". Rfam says of the family: Transfer RNA (tRNA) molecules are approximately 80 nucleotides in length. Their secondary structure includes four short double-helical elements and three loops (D, anti-codon, and T loops). Further hydrogen bonds mediate the characteristic L-shaped molecular structure. tRNAs have two regions of fundamental functional importance: the anti-codon, which is responsible for specific mRNA codon recognition, and the 3' end, to which the tRNAs corresponding amino acid is attached (by aminoacyl-tRNA synthetases). tRNAs cope with the degeneracy of the genetic code in two manners: having more than one tRNA (with a specific anti-codon) for a particular amino acid; and 'wobble' base-pairing, i.e. permitting non-standard base-pairing at the 3rd anti-codon position. The record is from Rfam by way of RNAcentral. Lineage: Eukaryota; Metazoa; Arthropoda; Arachnida; Araneae; Eresidae.
GACUUCAUGGUGUAAUGGUCAGCACACUCGGCGCGUAUUCGAGAGGUCCGAGGUUCGAGUCCCGGCGAGGGCA